Molecule: ribosomal RNA, 257 nt
Filed under: uncultured bacterium
Lineage: Bacteria
Description: partial 16S ribosomal RNA
Rfam family: Bacterial small subunit ribosomal RNA
Source: RNAcentral
UAACGCGUGGAGAACCUGCCGUAUACUGGGGGAUAACACUUAGAAAUAGGUGCUAAUACCGCAUAAGCGCACAGCUUCGCAUGAAGCAGUGUGGAAAACAAAAAGCUAAAGCUUUUGGUGGUAUACGAUGGAUCCGCGUCUGAUUAGCUAGUUGGCGGGGUAAAGGCCCACCAAGGCGACGAUCAGUAGCCGGCCUGAGAGGGUGAACGGCCACAUUGGGACUGAGACACGGCCCAAACUCGUACGGGAGGCAGCAG